Molecule: non-coding RNA, 30 nt
Filed under: Bombyx mori (domestic silkworm)
Lineage: Eukaryota; Metazoa; Arthropoda; Insecta; Lepidoptera; Bombycidae
Source: RNAcentral
UUGCAGUAUUCUAUGUAGCGUGGCGCGGCU